AUUAUUUGGAAGUCAGAAGUGCCGUAUUGGGUUUUAUACACUACCUCAAAGGUAAUUUGCGUGCCUGCUGCUUUCCUUGUGGUAGCCGUUUCUCAUACUCCCUCUCCGGAAUUGAAACCUGCUUUCCCUUUACAACCAUGGUUUCCAUUCUUAAUGUUAUAGCAACCAGCCUAGAAAGUUGAUAGGACAUACAUUUGACAUAUACGUUUCUGUGAACCUGCCAUGAUGCUUUGGAUUUGUAAUUGAUUUAAAUUCAUUUUCCCGAUAGAUAACUAAUAAAGUCAGCUUUCUGUGCAGUCUCGGCGUCCUUAUAAAUCAAGUCCGAGUUUAAAAACAUUGACAUUGCAUAAAACAACGCAUUUCUGGUUUGUCUAUUGGCGGCGGAUGCCUCAUGUGAAAUUCGAUCUGCUUUUUCUUCAGGAGUACCCAAGACGUAAUUUUUCUUUAGGUCGUCUUUCGUUUUUCGGCAUGUUAUUGUCUGACUCAGUUUGAUGAGGCGUUUGAUAUCGUCCGCCUCUCCUAAAUACACAUGUCAGUUGUGCAACACACUUAUAUGACAAAACACACUUAUAUUGCAACACACGUAUGUGAUCUAAUACACUUAUAUGAUUAUAUGUAAUAGAAUUUUAGAAAAGGAAAAAUGUUCAUCUUAAAAUGCUAUAAAUAUCAAUAAAAAAUAAAAACAAUACCCA
This 692-nucleotide long non-coding RNA is filed under the name Mytilus galloprovincialis (Mediterranean mussel). The record is from RNAcentral. Lineage: Eukaryota; Metazoa; Mollusca; Bivalvia; Mytilida; Mytilidae.